UACGUAGGGUGCAAGCGUUAAUCGGAAUUACUGGGCGUAAAGCGUGCGCAGGUGGUUGUGUAAGCCAGAUGUGAAAUCCCCGGGCUUAACCUGGGAAUGGCAUUUGGGACUGCACGGCUAGAGUGUGGCAGAGGGGGUGGAAUUCCGCGUGUAGCAGUGAAAUGCGUAGAGAUGCGGAGGAACACCGAUGGCGAAGGCAGCCCCCUGGGUUAACACUGACACUCAUGCACGAAAGCGUGGGGAGCAAACAGG
Molecule: ribosomal RNA, 252 nt
Filed under: uncultured bacterium
Lineage: Bacteria
Description: partial 16S ribosomal RNA
Rfam family: Bacterial small subunit ribosomal RNA
Source: RNAcentral